Camelina sativa (false flax) is the source of this 1143-nucleotide non-coding RNA. The record is from RefSeq and is a predicted model, not a curated record. NCBI's taxonomy places the organism in Eukaryota, Viridiplantae, Streptophyta, Magnoliopsida, Brassicales, Brassicaceae.
CUCCACUAUUUUAUAAAAGAGACAUCUUUGGGGGAAAGAAAGAAGACAUCCAACAAAGUUGGAACAACCCAUGAACCUGAUCGAGCAUGUUGGAUUGGACUGGCAACUGAUGGAGCUAAAGAAAGACUUCUUGACAAUUCCAUGUAUGGACAGCCUUACGGUGUUUAGUGCUCUCAGGUGCGGGAAGGUCAUGCUCGUUACUCAACUUUGUGACAAUGAGGAUAUCAAAUGUAAGUAUAAUCAUAUUAAUUCUUCGUUGACCAAAAAAAAAAUCAUAUUAAUUCUUCAAAAUCUUCCAAAACUUGUCCAGGGCAAAGCGAAAACAUAUGUGAUUUUUGAAAGUAACUUUUAUAAGCGACAAAGAAAAUGACAAUAUCUUAGCUCACUCACAACCUUACAUGUCUAUUUAUGUUCGAAAAAGAAUCAUAAUCUCAACUGCCAUUACCAAAUCCAAUAAUUUCAAAUGACAAAAUUAAAAAUAGUACAUUGAAGUUAUACAUUUUGUCUAUUGAAAAUUGGCAUCAUCACAUCAUAAAAUACUAGUAUUAAUUAGUUCGCUAAUCAUAGAAAACCAUAUAAAUGAGCAGACUAGCCCUUUUUAGGAUGAUGGUAAUAAGAUUGAAGUGUGUGAUGCCAAUUAUAACUUUCAAGAUAAAAAGACUCUAAGUUCACAUCAUUUUUGCUGUCAUCUCCAAUCCUCGCUCUCAUCUGUUUUUACAUAUAUGUUAUGAUUUUGAUUUUGAAAAAUAAAUACUCCUUUGUCUCAUUUUACAAGAUUGUUUUUGGCUAAAAAUGUCUGAAAUGUCUCACUUAUCAAAUUGUGGGCAUUGUUAUAAGCCCAUUAAUAGUCCAGCUCCAGCACAAAUGCUCUUAUCUUCCGAAAAGCAGCAAAGCACGGCUCCACUCACGUGCCAUACCCUACGCCUUAAGCACAGUCACAUGCCAUCAGUGUUCCAUUUCUUCAGCACGACGACAACUAUCAGAAAGUAAAAAACCUCAAUAAAUGUUACUAUUAGUAUUAUAUACUAUAAAAAGAAAGCUAUUUUGUUAAUUUACAUUUUUUUUUCUUUGCGUCAACUAUAUAAUUCACCGAUUUUUCAUAUUUCUCUUCGAAUAAAUUUUCCUAAACGACCUAUUUUUGAA